RNAcentral lists this ribosomal RNA (433 nucleotides) under uncultured bacterium. RNAcentral describes it as "partial 16S ribosomal RNA". It matches the Rfam family "Bacterial small subunit ribosomal RNA", at positions 29 to 507 of the family's 1533-position model. The record is from RNAcentral.
AACGAACGCUGGCGGCAGGCUUAACACAUGCAAGUCGAGCGAGACCUUCGGGUCUAGCGGCGGCCGGGUGAGUAACGCGUGGAAACGUGCCCUUCUCUACGGAAUAGCCCCGGGAAACUGGGAGUAAUACCGUAUACGCCCUUUGGGGGAAAGAUUUAUCGGAGAAGGAUCGGCCCGCGUUGGAUUAGGUAGUUGGUGGGGUAAUGGCCCACCAAGCCGACGAUCCAUAGCUGGUUUGAGAGGAUGAUCAGCCACACUGGGACUGAGACACGGCCCAGACUCCUACGGGAGGCAGCAGUGGGGAAUCUUAGACAAUGGCGGCAACCAUGAUCGAGCCAUGCCGGGUGAGUGAUGAAGGCCGUAGGGUUGUAAAGCUCUUUCAGCUGGGAAGAUAAUGACGGUACCAGCAGAAGAAGCCCCGGCUAACUCCGUG